This 248-nucleotide ribosomal RNA is filed under the name uncultured bacterium. RNAcentral's name for it is "partial 16S ribosomal RNA". It matches the Rfam family "Bacterial small subunit ribosomal RNA", at positions 524 to 771 of the family's 1533-position model. The record is from RNAcentral.
UACGGAGGGGGCUAGCGUUGUUCGGAAUUACUGGGCGUAAAGCGCACGUAGGCGGCUUUGCAAGUUAGAGGUGAAAGCCCGGAGCUUAACUCCGGAAUUGCCUUUAAAACUGCAUCGCUAGAAUUGUGGAGAGGUGAGUGGAAUUCCGAGUGUAGAGGUGAAAUUCGUAGAUAUUCGGAAGAACACCAGUGGCGAAGGCGACUCACUGGACACAUAUUGACGCUGAGGUGCGAAAGCGUGGGGAGCAA